CAGGAAUCCCCACUGGGGAUUCCUGGUGGAGGGCUGUGAACUUGCUGAGGAUAUGAAGAUAUCUGAAGUCAAUCAAUCAGAUUGCAACAUGACACUUUUUAUCUUUUUAACCUAACUGCCAGCUGGAAACUUGGAAAUCCUCCCUCAGUUUUUGCUUAUUAUGGGAGACUGACUCAUGGACAUUAACUUGCUUCCAGCCCUUUCUAGCCCUACCCUCCCUGACUCAGCAUUUUAGUAUCACAAAGAAGUCCAGAAGUCAUGUCCUUGGUGACUGUUGAAGCUGAAGCACAAAGAAGUGAAGUGACUGACCCAACUAUCUAUAACCAGGAGCAGCAGAGCCUGGGUUACACAUCCAUUCACCCAUAGGUGCAUGCAUGAGACUCAUUCAACACACACUUAUUAGCAUCUACCAGGUUCCAGGCGAUAUGCUAACUCCUGGGGCUACAGAGUUAUAAUUAAGAUAGACCCUCUUCCUGCUCUGUUAACACUCAUGGUCCUGUAGAGAAGAUAGUCAUGAAAGGAAUUAUUUGCAUUUGUAAAAUGUGC
RNAcentral lists this long non-coding RNA (546 nucleotides) under Homo sapiens (human). RNAcentral describes it as "long non-coding RNA NONHSAT206409". The record is from RNAcentral. Lineage: Eukaryota; Metazoa; Chordata; Mammalia; Primates; Hominidae.